GGGAGGUUUUAGUCGGUAGGCGCCGGACUGAACUUCAGUUCUUGACGGCGAAUCCGAUACUACCCGGGGUGGUUCCCUGGGUGUCUUCUGAAGAUUUCCUUCUC
Molecule: non-coding RNA, 104 nt
Organism: Trachymyrmex cornetzi
Lineage: Eukaryota; Metazoa; Arthropoda; Insecta; Hymenoptera; Formicidae
Source: Rfam